RNAcentral lists this ribosomal RNA (444 nucleotides) under uncultured beta proteobacterium. Its description in RNAcentral is "bacterial SSU rRNA". It matches the Rfam family "Bacterial small subunit ribosomal RNA", at positions 8 to 453 of the family's 1533-position model. The record is from RNAcentral. Lineage: Bacteria; Pseudomonadati; Pseudomonadota; Betaproteobacteria.
AGAGUUUGAUCAUGGCUCAGAUUGAACGCUGGCGGCAUGCUUUACACAUGCAAGUCGAACGGCAGCACGGGGGCAACCCUGGUGGCGAGUGGCGAACGGGUGAGUAAUAUAUCGGAACGUACCCGGCAAUGGGGGAUAACCAGUCGAAAGACUGGCUAAUACCGCAUAUGCCCUGAGGGGGAAAGUGGGGGAUCGCAAGACCUCACGUUGUCGGAGCGGCCGAUAUCAGAUUAGCUAGUUGGUGGGGUAAAGGCCUACCAAGGCGACGAUCUGUAGCUGGUCUGAGAGGACGACCAGCCACACUGGGACUGAGACACGGCCCAGACUCCUACGGGAGGCAGCAGUGGGGAAUUUUGGACAAUGGGGGCAACCCUGAUCCAGCCAUGCCGCGUGAGUGAAGAAGGCCUUCGGGGCUUUAAAGCUCUUUCGGACGGAAAGAAAUCG